Molecule: long non-coding RNA, 1842 nt
Organism: Heterocephalus glaber (naked mole-rat)
Lineage: Eukaryota; Metazoa; Chordata; Mammalia; Rodentia; Bathyergidae
Source: RefSeq, a predicted model, not a curated record
CAGGUUCUGAGCUGCUGCCAGGCAGGGUCGGGCGCAAGCCACCUCAGAAUGGGACUGGCACUUUCUUGUGCACUGAUGGCAGCGUCCUGCAGAGGAGAGAGGUAAAGACCAGCGGAACUCUCCCAAAGCGAUGUCCCCUCCAAACCCCAGACAAGGCACCCUCACGGAAGAGCAGAGGAGAGAAAGCGUCAGAUUUGGAGAUGGCAGAAAGCCUUGCUCCAGACAAAGCCCGCCCUUGUGAAAUGAGAGCAGCACUUCAAACACUGUUCCAUAAAGAGCUUCAGCCACAAAUGAAAACUACAUUUCAAGACCAGUAAGAGAAAUUGGGAUUUAACUCUCAGCCCGCUUUAUUACACGUUUAUACGUAGACGCUACAGGGACAGGGAUGGUGGGGAUUUGAGAAAGCCUCCAGAAAUGGCCCCAAAGGGUUAGGGUUCCGUCGGGGACCGCGACCCAGGGUUCUGGGCUGGGGGACCCCAGGUCCUUGCCCGCAGGGAGAGGCUCCGGCUGGGGAGCACUGGAGCACGGGGUCAUCUUAGCCUCCCUGCUCCACAGAGCCGGGCUGUCGCCACCCGCCCAAACCCCACCCAUGAUUGUUGUGCCAUGGAGCAGGGGGCACCAGGCAUUGUGAGACCCUCAGGACACCCCGGGACAGGACUCAAAUCACUUCCUCCGAAGGACAGUUCAGCAUCAGUUUUGUCCCAUGCAGAGCCCUGGGCCAGGAAGCGGAGAACCCAAAGUGAAGCAGCCGGCCCCACCCUCAAGCGACUCACUGUCCCCCAGAGAAAAGGGUUCUUCAGUGUCACUCACGACCAGGAAGACGAUGUCCCCAGGGUUCCCACGGUGACUGGCAGGUAGGAGGGGGCUCUCGUCACACGCAUGUCACAGAUCCCCCCAGGCCCCUGCAGGAAGUGUGCACAGACGUCAACAGGACAGGACCUGGAAGAGCGAAACCCAGCCCUGCGGGCAGAUCUGGCCUGCAGACACGUUUUGUUUGGCUUGAAGUGAUUUAAAUAAAUUUGAGCCGAUGUUGAAAAUCCAGCACAUUUCACAUGAAAAUCCAGCCUUCCAGCUUCCCUUGAGAAGAGGAAGUUGCAGCCACGUUUACGGCCCAUGUCCCCGCAUGGCUGGAGGAGAACGCGGCUCCCUCUCUUGCUGAUGUGAUCCUGGGGUCACCUGAGACCCCACUGCUCGCUCCUGCCUCCCCACCCCAGGCCCUUGCCACUUGUGGGCUUUCCUGUUCUCCUUGGAGAGGUUGCUGUGGGUUACACCUAGACUCCCCAAAGCCUCUGGGCUUCAGGCUGACUCGCUGUUAGGAGGUGGGGCCUGGUAGGAGGAGGAGGAGGUCACUGGGGGCAUGGGCUGGGCUCCUCCCUUGACUCUGCUUCCUGUCCACUGUGUCCUGAGCAGCUCUCUUCCACCAGGCUCCUCUGCCAUGCCAUCCUGCCUUGGAGCCAGCGGACCAUGGACUCAAACGUGAGCCAAAGUGAAACUGUCUAAGUUGUGGGUGUCAGGUAUUGUGUCCCAGUGACGAGAAAGUGGGUAACAAAGGUGAACUCUUUCUGACCACUGUUUAGUUAAGCGAGGAUUUGUUUUCACUAGAGCCAGCAGCCUGGGCUCAUCAGCAUUUCCAGGCACAUCUCUUGGUCCAGGGAUGCCUGUCCAGUAUGACAGCCACUGGCCCAAGUUACUAUUUAUGCUUGAAUUCAUUAAAGUUUGACACUGCCAUUCUUUUUUGUUUGUUUGCUUUGGUACUGGGGAAUCGAACUCAGGUCCUUGCACUUGUGCAGCAAGCAGUGAAACCACUGAGCCAAAUCCCCAGCCCGACACUGCCGUUCCUGG